GGGUUGUGAGGUUAAGCGACUAAGCGUACACGGUGGAUGCCCUGGCAGUCAGAGGCGAUGAAGGACGUGCUAAUCUGCGAUAAGCGUCGGUGAGGUGAUAUGAACCGUUAUAACCGGCGAUUUCCGAAUGGGGAAACCCAGUGUGUUUCGACACACUAUCAUUAACUGAAUCCAUAGGUUAAUGAGGCGAACCGGGGGAACUGAAACAUCUAAGUACCCCGAGGAAAAGAAAUCAACCGAGAUUCCCCCAGUAGCGGCGAGCGAACGGGGAGGAGCCCAGAGCCUGAAUCAGUGUGUGUGUUAGUGGAAGCGUCUGGAAAGGCGCGCGAUACAGGGUGACAGCCCCGUACACAAAAAUGCACACACUGUGAGCUCGAUGAGUAGGGCGGGACACGUGGUAUCCUGUCUGAAUAUGGGGGGACCAUCCUCCAAGGCUAAAUACUCCUGACUGACCGAUAGUGAACCAGUACCGUGAGGGAAAGGCGAAAAGAACCCCGGCGAGGGGAGUGAAAAAGAACCUGAAACCGUGUACGUACAAGCAGUGGGAGC
This 549-nucleotide ribosomal RNA is filed under the name Escherichia coli. Its description in RNAcentral is "bacterial LSU rRNA". It matches the Rfam family "Bacterial large subunit ribosomal RNA", at positions 1 to 580 of the family's 2925-position model. The record is from RNAcentral. Lineage: Bacteria; Pseudomonadati; Pseudomonadota; Gammaproteobacteria; Enterobacterales; Enterobacteriaceae.